GUCGAGGGGUAGAGGAAGCUUGCUUCCUUGAGACCGGCGCACGGGUGCGUAACGCGUAUGCAAUCUACCUUUUACAGAGGGAUAGCCCAGAGAAAUUUGGAUUAAUACCUCAUAGUAUAAUGACUCGGCAUCGAGAUAUUAUUAAAGUCACAACGGUAAAAGAUGAGCAUGCGUCCCAUUAGCUAGUUGGUGUGGUAACGGCACACCAAGGCAACGAUGGGUAGGGGUCCUGAGAGGGAGAUCCCCCACACUGGUACUGAGACACGGACCAGACUCCUACGGGAGGCAGCAGUGAGGAAUAUUGGUCAAUGGGCGCAAGCCUGAACCAGCCAUGCCGCGUGCAGGAUGACGGUCCUAUGGAUUGUAAACUGCUUUUGUACAGGAAGAAACACUCCCUCGUGAGGGAGCUUGACGGUACUGUAAGAAUAAGGAUCGGCUAACUCCGUGCCAGCAGCCGCGGUAAUACGGAGGAUCCAAGCGUUAUCCGGAAUCAUUGGGUUUAAAGGGUCCGUAGGCGGGUUUAUAAGUCAGUGGUGAAAGCCCAUCGCUCAACGAUGGAACGGCCAUUGAUACUGUAGAUCUUGAAUUAUUAGGAAGUAACUAGAAUAUGUAGUGUAGCGGUGAAAUGCUUAGAGAUUACAUGGAAUACCGAUUGCGAAGGCAGGUUACUACUAAUGGAUUGACGCUGGUGGACGAAAGC
RNAcentral lists this ribosomal RNA (700 nucleotides) under uncultured Flavobacterium sp. RNAcentral's name for it is "bacterial SSU rRNA". It matches the Rfam family "Bacterial small subunit ribosomal RNA", at positions 61 to 760 of the family's 1533-position model. Lineage: Bacteria; Pseudomonadati; Bacteroidota; Flavobacteriia; Flavobacteriales; Flavobacteriaceae. The record is from RNAcentral.